CUUAGUCUUUUUCUUGUCUUCGAUAGGGUCAGACCUUAUCAUAUCCUAGCAUAUUCGAAUGGUUAACAAGCGCAAUCAAGCUAUCCCUAGACAAUAGGUUCAACAACAAAUCAAUUCACUUCUGUGAUAGAAAUCCUCAAGCAAAGCUAGCCCAGACUAAUUCCCAUUAACGCAAUCUAACUAUGCAGGCAAUAAGAACAGACUGAUAAAGUCAAUAAACGCUCUAAACGCCCAAUCCCUUGGGAUAGAGACGAAUAUCUCAGGAACUAGUGGAUCAAGCAUUCCAUCGAACACCUUCUGGGUGCGAGAAUGCUUGGGAUCGAAUUCCAGUUGAUCAGAAAGAAAUAAGCAGUAAACGCAACUAGUCCUGAAGGGAUUCAAUCAAUUCUAAAACUUAACCAUUCUACAGACUACGGAUUCCACAACUACUCUAUCCCAUCCCUAAGAAUUCUAUGUCACUACUCAGACAACAUGCUCAAAGACAUAAACGCAGAUAAAUGAUAAUAUUGCAUAAGUAAAGAGAUAAAGAGUAGAGAAACAGGAUGAUAGAUAAAAUCAAAUGCAGAAUCUGAAUAACUUGGAAAAAUCUCGAAUUAUAGGUUGUAGAAGCAAAAGCGGCGCAGAAGAGUAAAAUAGAAAAUAAAACUGAAACAAAAACUCAAUGUCGACUAGAUGUCUCAGGAAAGAACCCUAAGACAUCUAUUUAUACAAAACAAAAUGAUAGUAGACGGGCCAAUAACCUAAUCGCCCGACCAAUAGAGUGAUAAUGGGCCGAGAUGGGCUUUGUGAUCCGAUGGAGGUCCAGGCCGCUUCCAAACACUUUGUCUUCUCCUCUUCUCUUCCUUGUGCUCAGCUUGUCUGGUUGAGUGCGGAUUUGAGUAGACUGUGAAGACGUGAUCGAGUGUCCGGUCGAGUGAUGGUGAUGGUGGUGAGUGAUGAUACUCGACCAGGGGGUCGACUAACUUGGUAGAGUGAAUGGCCGAGUGUGGUCAGGUGGUGUGGCGAAGUGAUACUCGACCAGGGGGUCGAUGGCGUCAUCGAGUAGCCUGAGCUGAGGAUACUCGACU
This 1067-nucleotide small RNA is filed under the name Arabidopsis thaliana (thale cress). Its description in RNAcentral is "ATSL163120". The record is from RNAcentral. Lineage: Eukaryota; Viridiplantae; Streptophyta; Magnoliopsida; Brassicales; Brassicaceae.